RNAcentral lists this transfer RNA (73 nucleotides) under Ornithorhynchus anatinus (platypus). It matches the Rfam family "tRNA". From Rfam's summary of the family: Transfer RNA (tRNA) molecules are approximately 80 nucleotides in length. Their secondary structure includes four short double-helical elements and three loops (D, anti-codon, and T loops). The record is from Rfam by way of RNAcentral. Lineage: Eukaryota; Metazoa; Chordata; Mammalia; Monotremata; Ornithorhynchidae.
AGUAGGGUGGCCUAGUGGGAAAGGGCACAGGCCUGGGAGUCAGAGGACCUGGGUUCUAAUCCUGGCUCUGCCA